RNAcentral lists this ribosomal RNA (406 nucleotides) under uncultured bacterium. RNAcentral describes it as "partial 16S ribosomal RNA". It matches the Rfam family "Bacterial small subunit ribosomal RNA", at positions 30 to 526 of the family's 1533-position model. The record is from RNAcentral.
AUUGAACGCUGGCGGCAGGCCUAACACAUGCAAGUCGAGCGAGAGGCGGACGGGUGAGUAAUGUAAGGGGAUCUGGCAGUUAGGGGGGGAUAACUACUGGGAACGGUAGCUAAUACCGCAUACUAUCGGAUCAACGCCUGUGGGAUUAGCUAGUAGGUGAGGUAAUGGCCAACCUAGGCGACGAUCCCUAGCUGGUCUGAGAGGAUGAUCAGCCACACUGGGACUGAGACACGGCCCAGACUCCUACGGGAGGCAGCAGUGGGGAAUAUUGCACAAUGGGCGCAAGCCUGAUGCAGCCAUGCCGCGUGUGUGAAGAAGGCCCUAGGGUUGUAAAGCACUUUCAGUUGGGAGGCGUUACCGACAGAAGAAGCACCGGCUAACUCCGUGCCAGCAGCCGCGGUAAUAC